AUUUAUAUAGUUUAAAAAAAACACUACAUUUUCACUGUAGAAAAAAAGAAAAAUUUUAAUAAACUCUUUUAUAAAUU
RNAcentral lists this transfer RNA (77 nucleotides) under Thienemanniella tusimufegea. RNAcentral describes it as "tRNA-Glu". Lineage: Eukaryota; Metazoa; Arthropoda; Insecta; Diptera; Chironomidae. The record is from RNAcentral.